RNAcentral lists this ribosomal RNA (424 nucleotides) under uncultured prokaryote. Its description in RNAcentral is "bacterial SSU rRNA". It matches the Rfam family "Bacterial small subunit ribosomal RNA", at positions 357 to 774 of the family's 1533-position model. The record is from RNAcentral.
GAGAAUUUUUCACAAUGGGGGAAACCCUGAUGGAGCGACGCCGCGUGGGGGAUGAAUGGCUUCGGCCCGUAAACCCCUGUCAUUUGCGAUCAACCGUUGUUAUUUAAAAGAUGACAGCCUGAUAGUAGCGAAAGAGGAAGGGACGGCUAACUCUGUGCCAGCAGCCGCGGUAAUACAGAGGUCCCGAGCGUUGUUCGGAUUCACUGGGCGUAAAGGGUGCGUAGGUGGUGAGGUGUGUCGGAUGUGAAAUCUCGGAGCUCAACUCCGAAACUGCAUUGGAAACUACCUUGCUAGAGGGUUGGAGGGGGGACUGGAAUACUUGGUGUAGCAGUGAAAUGCGUAGAUAUCAAGUGGAACACCAGUGGCGAAGGCGAGUCCCUGGACAACUCCUGACACUGAGGCACGAAAGCUAGGGGAGCAAACA